Non-coding RNA from Capsicum annuum, 107 nucleotides. NCBI's taxonomy places the organism in Eukaryota, Viridiplantae, Streptophyta, Magnoliopsida, Solanales, Solanaceae. The record is from Rfam.
AUCUGAUGAUUUGGGCACCGCAUAAGCUUAUUCUUGAACCUCUCCCAAGUUUCGUGGAGAGCUUCAUUUGGAAGCUGUCUGAAAUUGCUUAUCUCAUCUCUCAAUUU